This 399-nucleotide ribosomal RNA is filed under the name uncultured bacterium. RNAcentral describes it as "bacterial SSU rRNA". It matches the Rfam family "Bacterial small subunit ribosomal RNA", at positions 29 to 414 of the family's 1533-position model. The record is from RNAcentral.
AAUCAACGCUGGCGGCGUGCCUAAUACAUGCAAGUCGAACGCGAAAGUCCCGCAAGGGAUGAGUAGAGUGGCAAACGGGUGAGUAACGCGUGGGUGACCUGCCUUCGAGUGGGGGAUAACGUUUCGAAAGGAACGCUAAUACCGCAUGACAUCCUGUCUUUUAACAGACGGAGAUCAAAGCCGGGGAUCGCAAGACCUGGCGCUUGAAGAGGGGCCCGCGUCCGAUUAGCUAGUUGGUGGGGAAUGGCUCACCAAGGCAUCGAUCGGUAGCCGGCCUGAGAGGGGCGGACGGCCACACUGGGACUGAGACACGGCCCAGACUCCUACGGGAGGCAGCAGUAGGGAAUUGUUCGCAAUGGGCGCAAGCCUGACGACGCAACGCCGCGUGGAGGAUGAAGA